CCUAUUUGUGGUCUCACAUUGCCCCUACCCCCUAGUUCUGGUCUCACACUACCCCGACCACUCUGUAAGAACACAUGAAAGAAGAAAUCUUGAUUUUUCCACAGAAGUUCACGCACAGCGAAAUGAUGCGUAUGUUUCUCCAGAACGUGUAUUUCAUCUUCUCCGUUAGAAAUAGCGAUACCCAAGGGAGUGAAUAACUCAAAUCCUUAUUCAUAGUGACUCUUCAGUUCCACUUCAAAAGUUGAUUUGUUGGAGAAAUAUCAGCAAAGAACACCAUAAUAAUGGUGGUACCAUUUCUAAAAUCAAGGAAAACCAAGGUGAUGGGAACAAACAUUUGUAAGAAAGUUCUGCGAUUAAGAUUUGGACAAAAGUUAAAAGUCACUUUCUAUCAAAAUCGAGUAGUUCGACCGAAUCACAACCUAUUUAUGAGACGCUUGGGUUUGCUAGUUCGUGAUUGUUAUAUGUGCCCAUUGCGGGUAUAUUCAUGAAUUGAUAUCGAAAAGCACAAUCUUGAGCAUAUUUGCGCAACUGUUACAGAAAAGUUUGACUGUGAUAACAUGAAUGAUCAAAGAGAUAAUGUUUUGCAACAUAUGAGAAAGCUUUUGAACAAUGAGAUGAUCACUGCACAAGAAUAUGAAAUCCAAGUCAUUGCACCAGUUUCUAAAAGAUGUUCCAAUAGGAGUAGACUAGAGAGAUUGGGAAUGGUUGGUCAAGGAACAUUAUUUAUCUGAUAAGUUUAAGGCUGAAAUUCAAGAGCUUGUAUAAUCUGAACCGUCUUUUACUAAUAUUGAGGUAGUGGAACAGUGCUUUGGACCUCAAUGCAAAAGUCAUGCAGUUAGAUUUGGUGGUGGGAUAACCACUAAGGAGUUGAAAGGAGGUAGUACUUCUAAGGCUGUGUUGUUGGAAGAACUGAAAACAACUCAAAAAGAAAAGGAAUCACUGCAAUAGUGUAUUGAUAUUCUAGAGAGUAAAUAUGAUCGCCUUGAAAAUAUUGUGGUUCAUCAGCAUCCAUCACCUCCACUAUGUUAGGAAACUUUUCAUUAGCUAUGCCAUGAUGUGUAUUUCUCAAUGAAUUUAGUGAUGUCAUUAACAAGUGCUCAUCUUUGAUAAGGGUUUUGCUAAUGCAGUGGUCUGUCUUUCUAUGAUAAGUUGAUUUUAGAGAGUAGGCAGUCUUCAGUUGUACUACUUUCCAUGAUGAACGAGUUUACAUGCUUAUGGAAUUAUGUAUAUCUCUGUCUCAAUCAGGAUGUAUUCCUAUAUUCUGAACUGAGUUCCUUUUUUGCAUGUUCACCCUAGUAUUUGUGUUGCGUGUUAAAUCUCUAUUGUGUUAUAGUUUUAGAAUAAUGAUCUCUAAACUUGUUGACCUUUUUGAAUUUUGUAAAUGCGAAAGAUGGUUAUCUCAUUUUAGUCUAUCUCUAUAAUAAGGUUCACAGUCACAUGUAUAGAUCAACUUGUAUUUAUAGAAGAAGUGGUCUAAGGUAGAUAAUACUACUUUCAUCGAUA
Molecule: long non-coding RNA, 1503 nt
Organism: Solanum pennellii
Lineage: Eukaryota; Viridiplantae; Streptophyta; Magnoliopsida; Solanales; Solanaceae
Exons: 4
Source: RefSeq, a predicted model, not a curated record